Molecule: ribosomal RNA, 378 nt
Filed under: uncultured bacterium
Lineage: Bacteria
Description: partial 16S ribosomal RNA
Rfam family: Bacterial small subunit ribosomal RNA
Source: RNAcentral
UGGGGAAUUUUGGACAAUGGGCGCAAGCCUGAUCCAGCCAUGCCGCGUGCGGGAAGAAGGCCUUCGGGUUGUAAACCGCUUUUGUCAGGGAAGAAAUCUUCUGAGUUAAUACCUCGGGAGGAUGACGGUACCUGAAGAAUAAGCACCGACUAACUACGUGCCAGCAGCCGCGGUAAUACGUGGGUGCAAGCGUUAAUCGGAAUUACUGGGCGUAAAGCGUGCGCAGGCGGUUUUGUAAGACAGAGGUGAAAUCCCCGGGCUCAACCUGGGAACUGCCUUUGUGACUGCAAGGCUUGAGUGCGGCAGAGGGGGGAUGGAAUUCCGCGUGUAGCAGUGAAAUGCGUAGAUAUGCGGAGGAACACCGAUGGCGAAGGCAAU